This 464-nucleotide ribosomal RNA is filed under the name Escherichia coli. RNAcentral describes it as "bacterial SSU rRNA". It matches the Rfam family "Bacterial small subunit ribosomal RNA", at positions 1 to 461 of the family's 1533-position model. The record is from RNAcentral. Lineage: Bacteria; Pseudomonadati; Pseudomonadota; Gammaproteobacteria; Enterobacterales; Enterobacteriaceae.
AAAUUGAAGAGUUUGAUCAUGGCUCAGAUUGAACGCUGGCGGCAGGCCUAACACAUGCAAGUCGAACGGUAACAGGAAGCAGCUUGCUGCUUUGCUGACGAGUGGCGGACGGGUGAGUAAUGUCUGGGAAACUGCCUGAUGGAGGGGGAUAACUACUGGAAACGGUAGCUAAUACCGCAUAACGUCGCAAGACCAAAGAGGGGGACCUUCGGGCCUCUUGCCAUCGGAUGUGCCCAGAUGGGAUUAGCUUGUUGGUGGGGUAACGGCUCACCAAGGCGACGAUCCCUAGCUGGUCUGAGAGGAUGACCAGCCACACUGGAACUGAGACACGGUCCAGACUCCUACGGGAGGCAGCAGUGGGGAAUAUUGCACAAUGGGCGCAAGCCUGAUGCAGCCAUGCCGCGUGUAUGAAGAAGGCCUUCGGGUUGUAAAGUACUUUCAGCGGGGAGGAAGGGAGUAAAGUU